RNAcentral lists this ribosomal RNA (111 nucleotides) under Heteroplopomus barbatus. Its description in RNAcentral is "partial 16S rRNA". The record is from RNAcentral. Lineage: Eukaryota; Metazoa; Chordata; Actinopteri; Gobiiformes; Gobiidae.
UCCCCAACAGCUAGCCCCUCCCCCCAACCGCAACCAACCACAUUAAUAACCCCAAAUACAAUUAAUCACAUGAAACAAACCAUUUUUCCACCUCAGUAUAGGAGAUAGAAA